AUUGAACGCUGGCGGCAUGCCUUACACAUGCAAGUCGAACGGCAGCACGGGUGCUUGCACCUGGUGGCGAGUGGCGAACGGGUGAGUAAUAUAUCGGAACGUACCUUAUUGUGGGGGAUAACGCAGCGAAAGCUGUGCUAAUACCGCAUAAUCCCUUAGGGGGAAANCGGGGGACCGUAAGACCUCGCGCAAUUAGAGCGGCCGAUACCUGAUUAGCUAGUUGGUGAGGUAAAGGCUCACCAAGGCGACGAUCAGUAUCUGGUUUGAGAGGACGAUCAGACACACUGGAACUGAGACACGGUCCAGACUCCUACGGGAGGCAGCAGUGGGGAAUUUUCCGCAAUGGGCGAAAGCCUGACGGAGCAAUACCGCGUGAGGGAAGAAUGCCUAUGGGUUGUAAACCUCUUUUUUCAGGGAGGAAUAAAAUGACGUGUACCUGAAGAAUAAGCAUCGGCUAACUCCGUG
Molecule: ribosomal RNA, 465 nt
Filed under: uncultured bacterium
Lineage: Bacteria
Description: bacterial SSU rRNA
Rfam family: Bacterial small subunit ribosomal RNA
Source: RNAcentral